GGCAUCAGUGACAUAACAAUGCAAGUGCCUGGCUGCACCUUGACUUCCACAGACCGAAGAUCUCUGAGCAACUCUGGAACUUCACUCCAGCUUUGUUCACUCUACUCAUCUCUCUGGUUAAUCCUCUUCAUAAACAUAGCUUUUAUUCCCUUGUAACCACUGCCAGGCUAGAGGAGAGCAUCCUCCUUAUUGACCAUCAUCAUGAAGCAUAGGACGGUGAUGAUGUACAUGGAGAUAGGCUGCUUUGUGUCUGGCUGGCUGGAUUCUGGUGAGCUCCACCCUGGCUAUAGAGUACUGGACCUGGUCUGAAGUGGGCAGCGUGGUGCUCACCACCAGCAACUACUCCUCUAACCUCUGGAAGGACUGUGUCUCAGACUCAACGGGGGUGUCCGACUGCAAAUAGUACCCCUCCAUGCUGGGACUACCAGUAAGAUCAGAGUCUGUGGAUCCCAAUUUCAAGGCACAGAAAGCAGCGGUUUUUAUUGGCUGGGGAGGCUCGCUCUUGCUCAUCACCGGUGGUUUCUUCUCUGGAAAGGAGGGUCUACGCUCAACGUAACACUUUCCACAAUAUUCCUGCUUCACUCGAAAGACAAUAGAUUGCAUCAAAGGAAUAUUUUUUGUGUCGGAUAUAUGUUCAUCAUCUCACAAUUCUCUUGCUCCGUCUUCCAGUUGAAAGAAAAGGCCUCGCAGACUUAACUCCUAUGCCACAGCUCGGACCAGACGCACAUACAUGAUGCCAAACUCUUCCAGACUGACUCCAAUGCCACAAUUGGUCCAAGGGAGCAGAGGUGGCAGAAGGAUCAGGACAACAAGGACCACUGGGGCGAUUUAGUUUGAGCUGCAGUAGCUGCUGUACUGCAGGAAAUACACUGCUUCAUAUCAUUAGUCGUUAGUUACCAUGAAAAC
Oncorhynchus keta (chum salmon) is the source of this 906-nucleotide long non-coding RNA. RefSeq lists it as uncharacterized. Lineage: Eukaryota; Metazoa; Chordata; Actinopteri; Salmoniformes; Salmonidae. The transcript has 3 exons. The record is from RefSeq and is a predicted model, not a curated record.